GGUUGGGUAACAUAAUGGUAAUGUAUGGGAUUGCAAAUCCUAUAAUGGCAGUUCGAUUCUGCCCUCAACCU
This is a transfer RNA of Auxenochlorella protothecoides, 71 nucleotides long. It matches the Rfam family "tRNA". From Rfam's summary of the family: Transfer RNA (tRNA) molecules are approximately 80 nucleotides in length. Their secondary structure includes four short double-helical elements and three loops (D, anti-codon, and T loops). NCBI's taxonomy places the organism in Eukaryota, Viridiplantae, Chlorophyta, Trebouxiophyceae, Chlorellales, Chlorellaceae. The record is from Rfam.